This 17128-nucleotide long non-coding RNA is filed under the name Vitis vinifera (wine grape). Its description in RNAcentral is "long non-coding RNA (VVIN_LNC004151)". The record is from RNAcentral. Lineage: Eukaryota; Viridiplantae; Streptophyta; Magnoliopsida; Vitales; Vitaceae.
UAUAUUAAGGUCUAUGACAUGUGCGAUAUUUUUGUUAGGUUAUAUUUUCUAAUUUGGGCUCAUUUUUAAUUGGUAAGAUUUGUUGGACUAAUUUGAAAUUUGAAUUUGGGUUUGAAUAUCUAUUGCGAAUUUUAUACAUUUUUAGAUAUUUACAAUUUAGGCUAUUUUUGUUUUUGCAUAGGCUCAUUCUACAAUUCUAUUGGCUGAAUACGAAUUUAUGACACGUGGAACAUGGAAUUUCAUGGAAGAAAGUGAUAAUAAAAAGGCUAUAAAAAGACAUUGAGCUUAUUGUAAGCUUAUUUGGAUACACGUUUUGUUUCUCACUUUUAUUUGGUUUUAUUUUUAUUAGUUCUUGUAAAUAUUUGUUUGUAUAUUUUUAUUGAUUAAAUAUAAAAUUGGAUAUCGAACAAAUUAGAAAUUUUGUUUAAAUAAGAGGAAUAAUUCAGUAAAUAUGUUUUAAUAAAAUAAUAAUUUUAAAAUAUUCUUCUUAAUAAAAGAAAGUUUUUUAUUAUUAAUAAAAAUUCAAAAAAAAUGCUUUUAGAAAAAAUCCAAAAAAAAAAAUUGUUUUUAAUAAUAAUUGUCCAAAAAUUUCUUUAUUUAAUAAAAAUUGUCCAAAAAUUAUUUUUUAAAUAAAGUUGUCCCAAAAAUUAAUUUUUAAUAAGAUUGUCCAAAAAAAUGUUUUUUUUUAUAUAUAUAAAUGAAUUCUUUUUGCUUAAUUAAAAUGAGAUUAAAAGUAUUUUUAGAAAUAGAGGAUUUAAUUUUUUUUUUCUUUUUGAUUAAAAAUUCUUUUGCAAAUAAAGUUAUGUCUUUUUAAAUAAUUUGUAUAAAUCACUUUUCUUAAAUGAAAACAAAUUGAAAUACUUUUAUACAUAAAAUUGCAUAAAUUCAUUCAUUUUUUGUAAAAGCAAGUAAAAAUAAUUUUUGUACCCAAAUUGAAAUUUUGUAAUAAAUUAUUUUGAUACAAUAAAUGUAAAUAACUUUUUUGAAAAUUGAAUACAAAGAGAAAAUAAAUUGAUUCUUUUUGUAAAUAAAUAAAUUAAAAUCAUGAAUUCAAAAUCAUUUUUUAUAAAAUCCUUUGAAAUUUCUUGAAAACUAUUUUUUUAAUAUCUUUUUUUUAUUUAGUUCAAUAAAUAAUUUUGCAUAAUCCUCUUGUCAUUUAUUUUGUAUAUUCUUGUAAUUAGAUUUCAUCAUUAUUUUUGUGUAUAUUAAUUUUCACUAUGACGUGUACAUUGAUUAUUUUUCUUGGUAUCCAUAAUUAAUUAAUUGUCACAAUUCCCUUAAUUCGUUUAGUAAAGGUCAUACGUAUACGGGCUUAGAGUGAUACUACGAUUCACUACCAUACCUUCCCAAUAGGUAAUCUAACCCCUGGACCCGACUUUAGUUUUCCACAGACUGUUUUUUCCAAUUAAAGAGUCACACUUAAGGUUUUCUUUCUUAUUUUGUUUUCUCUUAAAAAAAAUAAAACAAAAAUAAGUGGUGACUCCAAGUCUUUUUCAAAUAAUCAAAUUUUCACCUAAUAAAUAAAAGAAACGAGUCACGCCAUCGAGUGGGAACACAUAUAAAAAACGUGGGUGUAGACCCCCCCCUGGGGCUGCGAAGCAGGGAGGAGUUUCUUUGUUUUUUUCUUUUUUUUUCUCAGGCGGCUGAUGGGAGGUUGGCUCGGGCAGAGAAGUGCAACUGAUGGGAGAGGCAACAGGGAGGCUUGCGGGAGAAGCCAAAGGAAGCUAAAAAGAAAAGAGAAAAGGGAAGAAGGGAUAUCGGCAGAGGGGGGCUUGUCUUCAGGUAGGGGACGAGAGCAGAAGGAGAGGAGAUUUGGCUAGAGGGAGAAAAAACCAGACAGAAGAAGCUUCCGCGGGCGCGGUAAGUCUCCAUUUCUUAAUGCCUACUUCACCAUUUGAUAAUAUAUGCAUGAUAUUUAUUGUUUGCUGUGGACAUCAAGGGCCACAGGUUUGGUUUUGGGUUGAACCCGUUUACAUGCACAUUAUGCUCUGUUCUCAUUUUCAUUUCUCUUUGGUGCCCAUCUCUAUACAUGUAUGGUCGUUAUCAUUCUCAUGUUCCUUGUUCCGGUUUCCAUACAUGCCUUCAUCCUCACGCUCCCCCGGUGCACCUCAUUUUCCUUCUUUGGAUUUCAUGGGUCUUUCACGUCACAAGCCUCCACUACCACCUUUUCUCUCACUACCAUUUCCCGUCAAGCAUCUUCCUGCCUACGCGUUCCCAGUGGUCUCCACGUCAUCGCUGGUCGGCUCAACCCCGAGGUCGCUGGCCGGAAUCCCAAGGAUGUUGUCAAUGGAGGUGGUCUCGCUGGAGGGUCCGCUGUCGGAGUACUAGCUGAAGUUGGCGUCGGGAUCGUCCUCGGAGGAGUGGAGUUCGGAUAACUGCCAGCCCCAUGGUGGCGUCAUGCCUCUGCGCCUGGUCAGAGAGUCCAGUCUUCCUUUGGAUACCACCGAUCGGCGUGCCACCAGAGCGAAGAUGACCCCCCCUUGAUAUCGCCGUUGACAGCAGCCGGACGUGGAAGCCCCCGCGAGCGCAUCAGAAUGGCUCUUCGCGGAUAGCCUGCCGCUUCCUCAGCUGCCGCCGCUUGCUUCGUCACCAGACCGCCGCCACGGCUCCUCUCUUCCCCGCACCGCCGCUGCUCCUCUUUUCCUCGCGCUGCCAUGGCUCUCCUCUACCUCGUGCCGUCGGUGGAGUCUUCGCGGGUGGAGAGGCAGAUGGUAAAGAGAAGGGUUGUUUUGCCCAUGAUGGUUUUGGGCUGGGGUUUGAACUUGGAGCCAGACCCAAGCCUAUGAAGAGAAGCCCAAGUUUGUGAAGGCUUUAAAUGCCUUGGGCUUGCCCAUUGAUACCUCAUGGAUUGGGCUUGAUGAAGAUGGGGUUUAUUAGUGGACUUGGGCUUUAGUGGGCUAGACUCAGAUGAGAGGCCCAAGUUUGUGAAGGCAUUGGGUGCCUUGGGCUUGCCCAUUUGGCAUCUUUGGGCUUGGGCCUGAUGGAUGCGUAUUAUCAUUUAUUAUUAUUAUUAAUUAUUAUUAUCAUUGUUAUUAUUAUUAUUAUUAAUCAUUAUUAUCAUUAUUAUUAUUAUCAUUGUUAUUAUCAUUAUUAUUAAUUAUUAUUAUUAUUGUUAUUAUUAUUAUGGUUACUAUUAUUAUUAUUAUUGUUAAUUAUUAUUAUCAUUGUUAUUAUCAUUAUUAUUAAUCAUUAUUAUCAUUUCACACUAUCAACAUCCAUUUAUUACUAUUAUUAUCAUCAUUAACCCAAACUUUCAAAAAUCUCAUUAUUAUUAUUAUUAUUACCUCAACUUUCAAAAUCUAUUUAGUAUUAUUAUUAUUAUCAUCAAUCCAAACUUUCAAAACCCUAUUAUUAUUAUUACUAACCCAACUUUCAAAAUCUCAUUAUUAUCAUUAUUAUUAAUUCACACUUUCAACAUCUAUUUAUUGUUAUUUAUUAUUAUCAUCAAUCCAAACCUCCAAAAUCUCAUCAUUAUCAUUAUUAUUAAUUCACAUUUUCAAUAUCUAUUUAUUAUUAUUUAUUAUUAUCAUUAAUUCCAUCUCUCAAAAUCUUAUUAUUAUCAUUAUUGUUAACUCAACUUUCAAAAUCUAUUUAUUAUUAUCAUUAUUAUCAUUAAUCCAAAUUCUCAAAAUCUUAUUAUUAUUAUUAUUAUUAAUUCACACCUUCAAAAUCUUAUUAUUGUUAUUAUUAUCAUUAAUUCAGACUUUCGAAACCUUAUAAUUACUAUUAUUAUUAAUUCAACCUCUCAAGACCUCAUUACUAUCAUUAUUAUAAAUUCAACUUUCACAAGUCUAUGGUCUCGCAGUUCAAUUUCCUAAAUUUCGUUUCUCAUUUUCUUUAACAAAUUCCAAUUUAAUCACCGGAGCUCUAAUCUUCAAAAUUUAAUUCCAAAUACUCCAAUUUUCAAAUAAGCUCCAAUAAUCCGGUUUUCACUCGAAUAGUUUUUAAUCACAUUUCAGUUCCUAAAUAAUCUUCUGAUCUUCUUGACUUUACAUAAGCAAUAGUGAUUCCUUCAUAAUUCCAAAACACGAGAUUUGUGGGAUUAGCUCAUGAACAAUAAAUCGGGCUUUGUUGGGGGCCCUAUGUUUGACCCCUUUUGACUGUCAAUUAUCGUGCUUACUGUAUUUUGCUUGAGCUUCGCUUUGCACUCCGAUAUGUAUGAGCUAUGUUUUGUAUUCAUUAAUUGUGCACUAAUCCCGUUUCUCGAUAGCGCGUUGCUGUUUGCUGCCCAGGUACGCAUUCACUCAUUCUGAUCAUUCAUUAUACAUAUUCUGAUUCUCAUAUAUGCAUGAUUGAUGUAUCCAUUGACUUUCUUAUUCGAUUGCCACGUCAGUUUCACUUUAUUAGUAGAGACCCGACUUUAGGGGCUUAGAGGGAUGCUACGGUCUUUACCGUACCUUCCCGAUGAGUAACCUGACCCCUGAACCCGAUCCGGUUUUUCACAGACCACCUUUUCCAAAACAAGGAGUCAUACUUAGGGUUUUUCUUUCUUAUUUUGUUUACCCUUUAAAAAUAAAACAAAAAUAAGUGGCAACUCCAAGUCAAUUUUUCUUAAUCAAUAAAGAUCAAUUUUUCGAAAUCAAAAUCGAGUUUCGCCAUCGAGUGGGAAACGCAUGAGCCGAAAUGCGGGGUCCACAGUGGGUCAACAAUGGGACUUUGAAUUUUCCUUAACAAAAUAGCUUGAUCAGCAUGAUUUUUUUUGUUGCCAAUAGUGGGAAAUACUGCAAAACACGUCGGAUCAAUCAUAUUUAACUUCGAAAACAAGUUGGUAGUUGUUAAACUAAAAAAAAAUUAUACUUUUCAGAUCAAGUUGCAUUGGUUUUACUUCAAAAUUACCAUAUAGGGCGGGUUAGACGUGAUCAAUCUACAAAGUCAUUUAUUAAAAUUCGUAAGGAGGACCCAGUUUUUGAGAUACCAAAUUUACCCUGUGUUCAACUAUCUCCCAUUAAUCCUUUACUUCCAUAAAGUUGAAAACAAAAUAAAUAAAUAAAAAUGAGAAAUAAAAUUAGAACUUUACCAUUUAAUUCAUCUUUAUUUUUCUGUAACUCCUUAUAAGAAAUUUUUUUUAAAAAAUAGGAAUAUAUAUAUAUAUAUAAAUCAAGAAAAAUAAUAAAAGUUAUAUAUGUUUUUUUAUUUUUUUAUAAGAAAUUAAAUUAUUUGAAACAUACUUUUCUAAAAACUAAAAAUAAAAAAUAAAAUUUGGGAUUUUUUUAAAGAACCCAUUAAAAAAAUAAAUUUAAUUUUCAAUUUCUCUUGAAUAAAAACCAAACCCUAAUGUUAUUAUACUAUUUUAUGCAUGUAACAAUAAACUUUAGCAAUUGCUCAUGAUCAAUCAAAAACUUUGUUACCCUAAUAAAAUGAACAAUUAUUUUUUAUGAGCACGCAUUAAUUGAAUAACACAUAAAGAUUCGUUUGGUAGUAUAACACAUGAAAAAAAAUUAAAAAAUUUCUAAAUUAGAUUAUGUCACGGUAUAUUGUAAUAUUAAUGUAUUUAUAUUACAAGUGUAAUGCAUUUAUGUCGUACUUAUCUUUUAUGACAAAAUUAAUAAUUUUAGAAAUAAUUGUUUAUAACUUAUUGGUAUUAGGAAUGGCAAUUUCGCGGGUUUCCCGGGUCACCCGCCUCGACCCGCCCCUAUUGGGACGGGUAUAGGAACAUGGCAAUCGGGGAUGGGCCGAGUUCAAGAUUUUUUUUAAAACCCGAAUCGGGUUCGGGGCGGGGUUGGGUGUAGUUAUAAUUUGACCCGCCCCGCCCCGAAUAUGAAAUUACUACUUUACCCCCCACUUAUAAAUAUUAGCUUCCUCUCCUCAUUUUAGGUCUUCUUUUCUCAGUUCUCGUUCCUGUCGACGCUAGGGUUUUUGCUCCCACUCAAUGGAGAAAUUCAUCAGAUAAUCCAUUCGAAAAUCCAUUUCCUCUCUAUUCAUCCUUGUUUAUCCCAUAUUCACAAGAAAUCAAGAAUCACAACUAUUAUCUUCACGUAUCUACAAACCGGUAAGAUUUUUUGUUGAUUUUUUGGUUGAAUGAUGCCUUGAUUUGGUGUUGUAUUCCGUUUCUAAUUCGGGAAAGAGAUACGAGAUUUAGGAUUUUUCCAUUUCCAGUUUUAGAUUAUUGAAGGAUUUUUUUUUUCUAUUAGUUUUCAGGUUGCUAUUUAGGGUUUUGAAUCCAUUUCUUGCGAAUCUUAAUAGGGGCUAAGCAGAUCUUAUCGUCAAAUGCUUCCACUCCCUUCAUAUUGAGAAAUGGAUCUUAUCGUCAAAUUUUUCUAGGGUUUCAUAUUAAUAGCAGAAUAACGAAGUACGUAAGUAUCCCUAAAUACCAAAUAUGUAGUUAUUCAUUGAAGUUCUUAGCCCGACUUCCAAGACUGUGCCACAAUUUCAAUUCAUUGUUUGAAACAUCUGGUUGAUGAACCAUGCUAACACCAGUAUCUGUAUCUUUAUAUAUGGAAAUUGCAUUAUUCCUGUAAAAUGAAAACAAAGAAGGAGAAGUGAGGCAAUAUAUAAUAACAUAGAUCAAAGUAGUCAUAUAAAUCAGCUUGUGAACAAUAGCUUGGAAGGCGUGAAAGACAAACAUAUAUGUCAGAAUAGAGGAUAUGUUAAAAUAUGUUCCCCCACUAAAUCUUGGUUUUCAAUGGGAAAAAAUGAAGAUAUUGUAUAUAACACCACUUCAACCAAUCGAAAGGAUAAACAUUUUUGACCCAAAAGCUUAUGUUGUAUGCGAAAUUGAAUAUAUAAGAGGCUAUAUAUGAAUGUAAGAUGGAAUAUUUAACAGGAAAUCACAUCUUCAAUGAACAUCCAAAAGCCUAAGUGGCAGCUAAUUUAGAGAACCAUUUCGUCAUAAUUCUUGCAGCCAACUGCCUACAGAGCCUCUUUAGAGUUAAGAACUUCACAUGCUCACCUAUCUGGCUUCAAUUUCUUCCUAGCAAGAUCAGAACCCCCUGCAGUUUGUCUUCCUGCAAAAGAGGAAAAAAUUUAGCCUGUGAAAGAAUUAAGAUGAAAAACAGCAUUUCAACUUACGAUUUUCUCCUCUAGCCAGGACAGUUCCAAAGCUUCGAACUGGUAAAUGCUUCUCUAUUAAGUCAUCCUAAAAUUGGAAAGACAUUAGAAUGAAAGUCAUUAUGCCAGUAUAAAUUUAAUUCUAAUGCUUUAAGAUGCAUAUACCUCUGUAGCUUUUGGUCUUGUUAGACAACGGGCAAAAUAUUUCUUAUAGGCUGCCUUCAACUUUUCUAUUGGUUGAGCAUUCCUAAAGCAUAGAAAAAUUGAAUUUUGGUAAAACAAGAACAUAAAUAGUCUAAGAGAUAUAGAAACUAAAAUUUUUGCAGAACAGAGAUACAAUUCUGUCAGAAGAUCAAUCCACAAAAAUACAUCCUAAAACUAUUGACCCCUUUAGUUCCAGCUCUUCACAAAUAAAAUAAUCUUCACUUCAACUUCUUCAGAAUCAUACUUCAAUACCAAAAUUGUUAAGCAUGAACUUAAGUUGUUAGCCCUUUUUACCAAAUUAUAAUAAUACAAAAAUCCACAAAGCCUCUAUUCCCCAUUACUGGACACAUCUAUGUGAAUCCUUUCCUGUCACUCAGCCCUAUCUAGGGUCAUCUGUAUGCAUUGCCAAUCUGUUUGGUCAGACUUAAAUAAUAAUUAAUUGAAUAUGUCAUAUAGGAAUUCAAAUAAUCCAACCACAUCAUAAUAUGACAUAUUAGAUAACCAAGAAGAAAAGAAAGGAGAGAAACUAUCCGUCCUUGAGAAAUUUACAGUCAAGAAGGUAGGGGCAGUCCUAUAAUAUUUAGCAUAAUACCUAACCAACCCACUUUCAUUAAAAUAGGUAGACACUUUUUAACUAACCAAGAUUUGUCCUUAUAUGAGAUUUAUAGAACCAAGAAAGCAAAGUAAAGCCUAUAAAAAAAUAAAAAAAUAAAAAAAAUAAAAAAGAAGGCAAAAUCAAAGAAAACACAAGAAACAGAAAAAAGAAAGACACUCUAAACUCUCCAAGCAAGCCAUCUUCAAUGUUUCUAAACACAAGAAACCCCUUAGCCACUAAUCAAGCCUUGUAUUUAAGUAUAUUGUCAUAUGUUUUUUCUUUGACUUUGAAAACCCAUUUACAUCCUAUUGCUUUCCUCCCAAGUGGUAAUGAAACCAAUGACCAUGUUCCAUUCUUCUGAAGAGCCCUAUAUUCUUCUAAGAUUGCCUUUUUCUACUCUGGUUCCUGCAAAGCAACAAGCACACUAGAAGGCUCUCUCAACUCUGCUAGAUAAAUCUUAGGCUUGUAUCUACCAUUCUUGGCUCUUGUUAUCAUUACAUGAGUGUUUCCUAAGCUCCUUGCUUCUAUAGCAGCAAAAACUAAUCCUACAAUAUUUUUGCUUAAACUAGGUUGCACAGAAACAUUAGUCUCAAGUGUAUGAGUAGGAGAGCAAUAGCAUUAGAAGUAUCCAUGUCACAUAAAUGCUUAUCUUCAUGUUGUGUAGAUGGUACUAGUGUUAGAAAUAGAUGUUCGAAAAGGAUUAUCUUGAGAAUUAGAUGAUGCAAAACCUAAAAGGAGCUGAGAAAUAUGAGGAAAUACAGGUGGUGUGGCUAAGGGCCUUAAACUUAUCUGAGAGACUGAAAGGACAACUGGUGACUUUUUUAUUUUUGAAAAAGGAAAAGAGAAUUCAUCAAAUAUGACAUCUCUUGAAAUAAACAUCCUACUAUUAGGGUCUAAACACUUACAACCCUUGUGAUUUAAAUUGUAGCCCAUAAAUAUGCAUUAAGCACUCCUAAAUUGCAACUUAUGUUUAUUAUAGGUUCUAAGGUUAAGAUUACAAGCACAUCCAAAGACUCUAUGAGUGUUAUAGGCAGGUUUAAUCUUGAAUAAGGUUCUAAAGGGGAUUUAAUAUUAAGAAUAGAAGUUCGAAGUCUAUUUAUAGGUACAAAGUCGCUUUAAAAGCCUCAUCCCAAUAUUUCAAAGGAAGAAAAGAAUUUGCUGAGAGAGAGAGAACCCAUUUUCUACUAUAUGCGCCUAUGUUUUCUAUCAACAACCUCAUUUUGUUCGUGUAUGAGGGCAAGAAACUUUAUGUACUAUCCCAUUAGUAGACAAAUUAUCUUGAAAUACUUUGAAACUCUUCUCCACAAUCUGUUUGCAUGGCUUCAAGUUUGGUAUUGAAAUUGAUAAAAGUUUGAAUAGCAUCUGAUUUAUUUCUAAGCAAGUAAAUCUAGGUAAUCUAGAGUAAUAAUCAAUAAAAUGGAUGUAAUAUUUGAUUAAUAUUUAUAUCCAUUACUAGCCUAAAUGUGUGCUAGACCCCAUAGAUCAAAAUGCAUAAGUUGAAGAGGAGCAGUAUAGACUGUAUCAGACAAACUGAAUGAGAGUUUAUGAAUCUUACCUAUACAACAAGAUGUACAUAAAGAAGAUUCCAUUUUAUUAAAAUUGGGCAUAUUACAAUGAGAGAGUACACAUUUGAAAACUUUUUCAAAUGGAUGACCUAACCUUUUAUGCCACAAAUCAAACAAAGAACUCUUAGAAUUGGUUGAACAACUAGUAUGUGUUGAAUUAUCUAUAUUACAAGAGGCUGACAGUUUUUUUGUUUUUAAAAUCAGAAACUUUUAUAUAGAAAUAAAACAUCUUGUUCAAAAAGUAUAGAUUUACCUUUUAUUUUUAAAAAUCAUUUUCAAAUAAUUAAACAGUUUUUAAAAGUAUUACUUUUUCAAUGUAAGUCUCUAAGUGUUUUUGUAUUUUAUAUAAAAGUUACCACUAUUUUCUGAUUUCAAAAACAGAAAACGGGAAGUUUAUCUAAACAAGCACAAAGUUGAUUUAUUUUGUUAUAUUUAUAAAGUUCAUCUGGAUAUUGGGACUUUCUUAACAGAAAGUGGCAGAUAAGGACUUCAGAUUUAGUGCUUAGUCAUGCCAAAUUCUCAUGAAUUUCAAUAGUUGGGUCAAUAUAUAUAUAUAUAUAUAUACAUAUUUUACUUGAUCCUUGCAUUAUUCCCUUGCUUCUUUCUCACCAGGAUUACUUAUCCAGCACCAAAUGGUUGUUUAAUUUGCAUAUCAGUUCUUUAUCAUGUGAAGUAUGAGGUUGUGAAUGUGCAAUUGGACAUUUUUUAUGUUCUCUACAGGCAAAUUUAUUUUCUACUGGUUAUAUGAAAGUUUAAUUUUGUUUGACUCUAGAAAUGCAUUGAGGAAUUCUGCAUUCUUGUUGCUUCCAUAUUAUGAUAGCACAAAAACUUAGGUGGAUCUAAAGGAAGAGAGAAUCCUGAAAAAUUAGAAUUUAUUUGCAUGGCCUCAUGAUAAUUUGUAUAAUGAUUCUUGGAAUGUUUUGUUUUGUUUUCUGGUGAUUACUUUUUAGAAUAUUCUUUGUUUGCUUUUGUUUGCUUUGUUUUCUGUUUUUUUAUUUUCUUCUUAUUUUCUUCUCACUUGCUGUGGGUUGUCCAUAUAAACUGCAUGUGUCUUUCGGUUGCACUGCCCUCGAUGCUUUUCUAUUACAUUUAUUUUCCUAUUAAUGGAAACUAUGUUGACAUCUUGCAAUUCUUGGAGGUUAACCUAAAUACAAUCUUGCCUUUUAAACCCUUGCUUCAAGCCCUAUCCAAGCUUUAGGUUAUUAAUUUAGGUUUGAAUGUUUUACUUAUAGACUUUAUUUUAUAUUAAGAAAAAUGACAUCAGAAGAAGGGGAAAACUUUUCCAUGCCAAGUGCGGGUUCAACUCCAAUUACAGGCAGUACUUCAACUACUGAUGGAACCUUGGUAUCUAAAAGAAGAAAGUUGACUUCGGUUGUUUGGAAUGAUUUUGAUAAAAUCAUAGAAGAUGGACAAGAUUAUGCUAUUUGUAAGCACUGUAAGGGAAAGCUUAAGGCCGAUAGCAAGAAUGGGACAAAACACUUACAUGUACACAUAGAAAGGUGCAUGAAACGAAGAAAUGUUGAUAUUAGGCAACAAUUAUUGGCAGUAGAGAGAAAAUGUCAUGGAAAAGUUCAAAUUGGUGGUUUUACCUUUGAUCAAGAAAUCUCAAGAGAGAAGCUUGCACGUGCAAUUAUAUUGCAUGAGUACCCACUUUCAAUCGUUGACCAUGUAGGGUUUAGAGAAUUUGCUACUAGUCUCCAACCCUUAUUUAAGAUGGUUUCCCGCAAUACGAUUAAGGGUGAUAUAAUGAAGAUUUAUGAGGUUGAGAAAGAUAAGAUGAUUAGCUACUUAGAGAAACUUCAAAGUAGAGUUGCUAUCACAACUAAUAUGUGGACAUCAAAACAAAAGAAAGGCUACAUGGCUAUCACUGUACAUUACAUUGAUGAGUCUUGUGAUUCUUGCCCACUUGGUGUCUCAGCUGAUUCAUGUCCAGCUGGUGCUCCUUGAUUGAGGGAUUAAUCAACAAAAUUUAUAACCUAUUACACCAUAUACUAGGGUAGCAAAGACAAAGCUACUAUAGCAUAGUGGCUCUAGGAUCGUUCACUGGGAUGGGUUUUCACUUUGCAAAUGAUAUUAAUUCAAAGCUGAAUUGGUGUCUUUUCAUUUCAAGGUUAGCUUUAAAAGAAAACAUAAAGAUGUUUGAAUGAAAAAGGUUUGGUUUUAAACUAACCAAAAAUAGUAACUGAUUUUACUUACAAAGAAAAGUGUUUCUUGGAGUUCAGAUCACUAGGCUCAGGUUCCUCAUACAAAAAGGGAGUUCCGGUCACUUGUUUCUUUUCCUCGUAUUAGAGAAUUAACAUAUAGUUCCUUCUCCAACCGGUGUUGUACAGAUGCUUCCCAUUAAUGGGUUCAAACACUAAAUCCCUCUCACUGAUGCACCUUGCAAUGGCUCAUACCUCUCACCUAGCACUUGCCAUUCAAGGUGAUCUUUAACCUUGGAUUACCCGUCAAAAGCUCGCAAGAGAUAACUAAUGGAUGUCUCCUUGGAGUCCAAAAGCUUACCAAGUGUUGGCUAUUCUAGAAAAUCCUACCUUCAAGUCACUUCCCAGAGGCUCGCAAGGGGCAAACUAGUGCAUCUCCAUGGACAGAGAUCACUUGCCUUACCAAGUGUUGGCCCAAGUGAUUUAAAGGCGUUUUAAGUUAACUAAAAAGAUAAAAACCAUUAACGGGUUACACUUUCUCUUCAUUAAAAACUAAAACAACAAAACUUCCAAUUUAUGCAUGUGAAAACUUACCCGGCUUUCUUCACUCCAAGAGACAAAAAGCCUAGCCUCUCAUCCUCUGAGGAAAAAUCCUCAGAGUUUGGUUAGCAAGAAAAUGAAAAUGAAAGAGAAGGAAAAACAGAGCAAGGCUCUGUAUAUUCUAUAUAUUUAUAUAUCUAUCUAUAUAUUUUACAAUGGAUUACAUGAUUCUAUCUGAUGGAUCUCCUGGAACAAGCUCCUCCGAGAGUCCCCCAAAAGUCCUCUUUUUAGUGUUUACAAGAGAGUUUAUAUAGGAAGGUAAUUUACCCUUCCUUGGAUACUUCCUAGCUAAGGAAUUACAUGAGUGGCUGAAUACAAGGAGAAAAUGGAAAUUUAUACAAAAAUAUCUGAAGAAAAGAUCUAAAAGAGUCGGUGCACAAAUAUCGGGAAGCACUAAGGACCAUUUCGCAUGUGAAAACGAGGUCUGCGAGAUUUCGUAGACGCACACAAAGGGCUGCGAAAUCAUUUCGCAACAAAAGGCUAAUCUCGCAGUGCUGUGAAGUUGGCUUUCAUCUUGAGGUGCUCAGCUUCUAGCGUGUCGCAUAUAUCGGGUAACUUCAGGAGGAAUUUCAAAACACUGUACAAAAAGGCUGCGAAAUCAUCUCGCAACAAAAGGGUGAUUUCGCAACACUUUGCAAAUUUCUUCCUUCAGCUUGGAGUGAUCGGCUUGCAAUGGCUGUAACUCCUUCAUUUCAACUCCGAAUUGCGCACCGUUUGAAUAAUUGGAUUCUUGACUUCCUGAGAUUUAAAAUGGUAUAUAGCAUGUAGAAAAUGGACUUCGGGAAGUGCUCCAAAAGUGCGAAAGAAGACUGCAGCUGCUGUUCUCUGUUUUCUUCACUCUGUUUUCCUCUCUCCAGUGCUCUUUCCUUGCAUACUUUGAACGACUAAGGCAAAGGACUAUGAGGCUCCAAAGCUUGGUUUCUUCAUGAAUUUGAGCUUCCAAAAGCUUUGCCAUGAACUAUAUACAGCUCUCCCUCGUUCUUGGAUUGCUUUGGUGAUCAAAAAGCUAUCAAAACACCAAAACUUAACACAAUUUGAUUAGAAACGAUUGCAAGGGUCCUUAACAUGUUAAUUGGGUUAAAAGGCAAUAACUACUACUCAAAAGUGUUUAAAAGAGUUAAUUACAAGCUAUGAAAUAACACUUUUUGAGUAGUAAUCAUCUUGGUUACUACACCAUCAUAUUGUAAGGUUAGUUAUGUUUUUUUUUUUAACUUCCAAAGUGUUUUUUUAUUUGAUCCUUUAAUGAUAUUGUUUGUGUUAAUGAUAUUUUUUAUUCUUAAUUUAGGUUUUUUUAUGUGCCUCCUCCACACACAAAAUAAGUUCUUUCAGAUGUAUUAAUGGAUUUCUUGUUGGAUUGGAAUAUGGAUAGAAAAGUUUCUACAGUCACUGUGGAUAAUUGCUCAAGUAAUGACGGAAUGAUCAAUAUCUUGGUGGAGAAAUUAUGUUUGAGCAAUUCACUCUUAUUGAAUGGAAAAAUUUUCCACAUGCGAUGUGCGGCACAUGUGUUGAACUUAAUUGUUAAGGAAGGUUUGGAUGUCAUUGAAGUAGAAAUUGAAAAAAAUCGUGAGAGUGUUGCAUAUUGGUCAGCAACCCCAUCAAGAAUGGAAAAGUUUGAGGAUGCAGCUCGCCAAUUGCGUAUUACAUGCAAUAAGAAGUUAAGUCUUGAUUGUAAGACACGAUGGAAUUCCACAUACUUGAUGUUAUCAAUUUCUAUAACAUAUAAAGAUGUGUUCCCACGUUUGAAGCAACGUGAAAAAUACUACAUGGUUGUGCCAUCAGAGGAAGAAUGGAAUAUGGCAAAGGAAAUAUGUGGAAGAUUGAAAUUGUUUUACAACAUAACAGAGUUGUUCUAGGAUGAAAUUAUCCCACUGCAAAUACUUUCUUCAUCAAAGUGUGCAAAAUCAAAGAGGCAUUGUAUGAUUGGUUGAUAUGCUCAAAUGAUGUUGUGAAAACGAUGGCAUCAAGUAUGUUGCAAAAGUUUGACAAGUAUUGGAGUGGGUGUCAUAUUGUGAUGGCAAUAGCAGCUAUAUUUGACCCAAAAUACAAAAUAAAGAUUUUAGAGUUUUACUUUCCACUAAUGUAUGGGUCUGAAGCUUCAAAUGAGAUAGAAAAAAUCCGUGGAAUGUGUUAUGAGUUGCUUUCUAAGUAUCAAUCAAAGUCUAAUUUGGGGCAAAAAAACUCCAUCCUAUGGUACUUCAUCAGGUUCAACUCUUUUGGAGUUAAACUAUGAUGAACAAGAUCCUCUUUCAAAGUUUGACUUAUUUGUUCAUAGUACCAUUGGAGAAAGUCAUACGAAGUCGGAGUUAGGUUAUUACUUAAAGGAGUCUAUUCUGCCAAGGAAUUCAAAUUUUGAUGUUUUAAGUUGGUGGAAGACAAAUGGUAUAAAGUAUCCGACUUUGCAGAUGAUUGUUCAUGAUAUCUAUGUUAUUCUGGUAUUUACAGUUGCAUCUCAGUCAGCCUUUAGCACGGGUGGUAGGGUCGUAUCAAAACAUCGCAUUAGGCUUCAUCCAGAUACUUUGGAGGCCUUAAUGUGUGCUCAAAGUUGGUUAUGGAAGGAAAAAAAAGGUAACCGAUUUACAUAAUUAUCAAUUUUAUGAAUUGUUUUUUAUUAAAAUAUUUAGUAAAGUUUUCUAAUAUUUUUUUGGUGUUUUUUUUUUACUAGGUGAUUCAUCAAUUCAUGACUCAUAGCCCCAACUCAUAAUGAUGGAUGAAAAUGAUGAUUUACUUGUGCUUUAGAUUUUUUACUUAAGAUGAUGUUAGAGACAUUUUUUCUUUCUUUUUUGCUAACAAUUUCUUUGUAAUGUCUUUUUUUUUUAUUUUUUUUCAAUGUUGUUAAGCUUAUGGAUAUAUUUUAAUUUUGGAUAUUAUAUUUUGGCAUGUCUUCUAUGAUGUUAAUUACCAUGGUUGUAACUAAGAACCACAUUCUUUACAAUCAAGUUCAAGACUUGCAAGGUAGAGUCCUUGUAAGGAAAUGUGGAUGCAGGAACAUAUGCUAAUUGAAGCCAACAAUGCGUUGAAAAGAAAGGUACAAAUUCUCAAAUGAACCUGGUCUUUUCUUUUAGAUUGACAUCCUGUGUUAUAGGAAGUGGGUCUGGUCAGCCUAGUCCAAAGGCCAUUAACAGGCCUUCUAAGUCCAGCUUGGUUAAAGGGGAUUUAGGAAUUUGAGUUGUAUUAGUAGUAACAUCGAUGAAGAAAAACUUCAUGCUAGAUUUCUAUUGCAUACUAACUGUCAAAAUUGAAGAAAAUUUUGGCUUAGUUGAUCAGAAUAUGGAUCCCAGUUGCAGUAGUUUUCAAUAAGUUUUCCCCUUGUCAGAAGCAGAAAAACUGGGAUCAAAAUCCAAAACCCGCCAUAUGGUGGAUACAAAUUGGUAUAACAAGUCUUACUAAAUCUUGAGGAAAGUUCUUAAGAUGGUGGAAUUGUUACUAAAUGGAACCCAUUUGAUGGGUCUUGACAUGGUUUCUUGGUGGUCAUUGCAAGUCAUUCUUUAGAAUUGCAUUCAAAUUUUACAGGUUUGAGCUUCUAUUCUCUCAUAAUAUACCUCUUGUUUUUGCCUUUUUAUUGUGACAGCAAAUUUCCAAGUACAUUGAUGAGCACUAUAAAAAUUUCUAGAAUUUUCUCAACUUCCAUCUAAUAAUGUGCCAGUCGGUUUCAAUUGUGGUUCUGGUUGGGCAGGUAAUCCUCUCUGUUUUCAGAAUAAGGCUAUUUUUUUUUUAUAUCUAUACUUAUGCAGCCAUCAUACCUCUUCAAAUUAUGAACUUGUUGUGUUGGAAAAAUCAACAUCUGUAUACUCUUGUUUCAAUUCCAAUUCAAUCAAAAAACAAUUCCAUUAGAAGGUCAAGAUUUGGUGUAUGCAGAAUUGUUAUAGAUGAGACGCUAGGUUGCAGCCAGUCAGGCCAGCCCAAAGUGAAUCUUUUGUUUGGAAAUGAUUUCAGUAGCCACAGAUGGUGCCAUUUCUCCCCUAUUUUUCAGAAAAAGGCUGCUUUUCCUGCAUAAAUUUGUGUUGUGGAAUGAUUUUCAUUGUUCAAAUGACAUUCAAAGUUCUGUUUUCCAAAAUUUUCUUAAAGAUUUGGACAAAAUUGCACACAAGUCAUUUUAACCAAUUUUUCUUGACAUGAAGAGAAGAAUUCCAACAUCAUAUUUAUGGGGAUUUGUUUGUUUUCUUGCAUUUCUGCAUACUUAGGAGUUCUAAACUGCUUUCUUCGGGGAUAUGAUUCCAUGGAAGAAUUUCAACACCAUAAUUAUGGAGAUUUGUUUGUUUUCUUGCAUCUCUGCAUACUUGGGAGUUUCAAACUGCUUUCUUUGGGGAUAUGAUUCCAUGGAAGUAUUUCAACACCAUAAUUAUGGGGAUUUGUUUGUUUUCUUGCAUCUUUGCAUACUUAGGAAUACCAAACUGUUUUCUUUGGGGAGAUACUUUGAAUCUAAAUGGAUUGCACCCCAUUUCCAGAUCAAUGCAGUUGUGCUUGCUAUUCUGAUAUGGGCAAUAAGAACUCAUCCAGGAGCUCACUACAACAGUCCAAAUCAACAAGAACGCCGUAAUUUCACACAUUCCUUUCUAGUACCACCCAACUCGCCUAUCCCAGGUUGCUUAAGUGAAUUUCUCAAUGAUAGGCUUUCACAGAUCUCUCUGCCAUAUCUUAAGGAUGGCAGUUCACAGGGCUGUCUGUCAUAUAUUUAGGAUGUGUUCACAGGACUAUUUCAGAGAAGAAACCAAUUCUAGUUCAAAAUUCACAUGAAAAAAUAUAUAGAAAAUUUUCCUCUCAAAUACAUUCAUUAAUCAAGGUUAACUCUUUGGGAAUCAAUGCUUCAUUUCAUAUGCCUAAAAAAAAGCCCAGAUGCUGAUGGAGAAAUGUGUACUGAAUCCUUUGGAUGAUUGCAGCUCAACCCUGAUAAUCACCCAUCUUGGCUGGGGGUGCAGCUAAGCUAUGGUUGAUCUUUUGGGGCAUUUGGGUGGAGAUCUCUCUCUUUGUGGAUGGAUAUAUAGUAGGAUAGUCUCCUGCUUCAUGCUAAGUAAGCACCCUCUCCCUCUCACAAAGAU